This 521-nucleotide ribosomal RNA is filed under the name Pseudomonas putida. RNAcentral describes it as "bacterial SSU rRNA". It matches the Rfam family "Bacterial small subunit ribosomal RNA", at positions 38 to 536 of the family's 1533-position model. The record is from RNAcentral. Lineage: Bacteria; Pseudomonadati; Pseudomonadota; Gammaproteobacteria; Pseudomonadales; Pseudomonadaceae.
GGGAAAGGGUGGAGGCCUACACAUGCAAGUCGAGCGGAUGAGAAGGAGCUUGCUCUUCGAUUCAGCGGCGGACGGGUGAGUAAUGCCUAGGAAUCUGCCUGGUAGUGGGGGACAACGUUUCGAAAGGAACGCUAAUACCGCAUACGUCCUACGGGAGAAAGCAGGGGACCUUCGGGCCUUGCGCUAUCAGAUGAGCCUAGGUCGGAUUAGCUAGUUGGUGGGGUAAUGGCUCACCAAGGCGACGAUCCGUAACUGGUCUGAGAGGAUGAUCAGUCACACUGGAACUGAGACACGGUCCAGACUCCUACGGGAGGCAGCAGUGGGGAAUAUUGGACAAUGGGCGAAAGCCUGAUCCAGCCAUGCCGCGUGUGUGAAGAAGGUCUUCGGAUUGUAAAGCACUUUAAGUUGGGAGGAAGGGCAGUAAGCGAAUACCUUGCUGUUUUGACGUUACCGACAGAAUAAGCACCGGCUAACUCUGUGCCAGCAGCCGCGGUAAUACAGAGGGUGCAAGCGUUAAUCGG